This 1520-nucleotide ribosomal RNA is filed under the name Klebsiella pneumoniae subsp. pneumoniae. Its description in RNAcentral is "bacterial SSU rRNA". It matches the Rfam family "Bacterial small subunit ribosomal RNA". Lineage: Bacteria; Pseudomonadati; Pseudomonadota; Gammaproteobacteria; Enterobacterales; Enterobacteriaceae. The record is from RNAcentral.
AGAGUUUGAUCAUGGCUCAGAUUGAACGCUGGCGGCAGGCCUAACACAUGCAAGUCGAGCGGUAGCACAGAGAGCUUGCUCUCGGGUGACGAGCGGCGGACGGGUGAGUAAUGUCUGGGAAACUGCCUGAUGGAGGGGGAUAACUACUGGAAACGGUAGCUAAUACCGCAUAAUGUCGCAAGACCAAAGUGGGGGACCUUCGGGCCUCAUGCCAUCAGAUGUGCCCAGAUGGGAUUAGCUAGUAGGUGGGGUAACGGCUCACCUAGGCGACGAUCCCUAGCUGGUCUGAGAGGAUGACCAGCCACACUGGAACUGAGACACGGUCCAGACUCCUACGGGAGGCAGCAGUGGGGAAUAUUGCACAAUGGGCGCAAGCCUGAUGCAGCCAUGCCGCGUGUGUGAAGAAGGCCUUCGGGUUGUAAAGCACUUUCAGCGGGGAGGAAGGCGGUGAGGUUAAUAACCUCAUCGAUUGACGUUACCCGCAGAAGAAGCACCGGCUAACUCCGUGCCAGCAGCCGCGGUAAUACGGAGGGUGCAAGCGUUAAUCGGAAUUACUGGGCGUAAAGCGCACGCAGGCGGUCUGUCAAGUCGGAUGUGAAAUCCCCGGGCUCAACCUGGGAACUGCAUUCGAAACUGGCAGGCUAGAGUCUUGUAGAGGGGGGUAGAAUUCCAGGUGUAGCGGUGAAAUGCGUAGAGAUCUGGAGGAAUACCGGUGGCGAAGGCGGCCCCCUGGACAAAGACUGACGCUCAGGUGCGAAAGCGUGGGGAGCAAACAGGAUUAGAUACCCUGGUAGUCCACGCCGUAAACGAUGUCGAUUUGGAGGUUGUGCCCUUGAGGCGUGGCUUCCGGAGCUAACGCGUUAAAUCGACCGCCUGGGGAGUACGGCCGCAAGGUUAAAACUCAAAUGAAUUGACGGGGGCCCGCACAAGCGGUGGAGCAUGUGGUUUAAUUCGAUGCAACGCGAAGAACCUUACCUGGUCUUGACAUCCACAGAACUUUCCAGAGAUGGAUUGGUGCCUUCGGGAACUGUGAGACAGGUGCUGCAUGGCUGUCGUCAGCUCGUGUUGUGAAAUGUUGGGUUAAGUCCCGCAACGAGCGCAACCCUUAUCCUUUGUUGCCAGCGGUCAGGCCGGGAACUCAAAGGAGACUGCCAGUGAUAAACUGGAGGAAGGUGGGGAUGACGUCAAGUCAUCAUGGCCCUUACGACCAGGGCUACACACGUGCUACAAUGGCAUAUACAAAGAGAAGCGACCUCGCGAGAGCAAGCGGACCUCAUAAAGUAUGUCGUAGUCCGGAUUGGAGUCUGCAACUCGACUCCAUGAAGUCGGAAUCGCUAGUAAUCGUAGAUCAGAAUGCUACGGUGAAUACGUUCCCGGGCCUUGUACACACCGCCCGUCACACCAUGGGAGUGGGUUGCAAAAGAAGUAGGUAGCUUAACCUUCGGGAGGGCGCUUACCACUUUGUGAUUCAUGACUGGGGUGAAGUCGUAACAAGGUAACCGUAGGGGAACCUGCGGUUG